RNAcentral lists this transfer RNA (74 nucleotides) under Rhodospirillaceae bacterium. Its description in RNAcentral is "tRNA-Cys". It matches the Rfam family "tRNA". From Rfam's summary of the family: Transfer RNA (tRNA) molecules are approximately 80 nucleotides in length. Their secondary structure includes four short double-helical elements and three loops (D, anti-codon, and T loops). Further hydrogen bonds mediate the characteristic L-shaped molecular structure. tRNAs have two regions of fundamental functional importance: the anti-codon, which is responsible for specific mRNA codon recognition, and the 3' end, to which the tRNAs corresponding amino acid is attached (by aminoacyl-tRNA synthetases). tRNAs cope with the degeneracy of the genetic code in two manners: having more than one tRNA (with a specific anti-codon) for a particular amino acid; and 'wobble' base-pairing, i.e. permitting non-standard base-pairing at the 3rd anti-codon position. Lineage: Bacteria; Pseudomonadati; Pseudomonadota; Alphaproteobacteria; Rhodospirillales; Rhodospirillaceae. The record is from RNAcentral. RNAcentral also lists the same sequence under 1 other name.
GGCGCGUUGGCGGAGUGGUUACGUAGCGGACUGCAAAUCCGCGUACGCCGGUUCAAUUCCGGCACGCGCCUCCA